UCUUCCGCAAUGGACGAAAGUCUGACGGAGCAACGCCGCGUGAGUGAUGAAGGUUUUCGCAUCGUAAAACUCUGUUGUUAGGGAAGAACAAGUACCGUUCGAAUAGGGCGGCCCCUUCAUGGUACCUACCCUGAAAGCCACGGCUAACUACGUACCUGCAGCCGCGGUAAUACGUAGGUGGCAAGCGUUGUCCGGAAUUAUUGGGCGUAAAGCGCGCGCAGGCGGUUUCUUAAGUCUGAUGUGAAAGCCCCCGGCUCAACCGGGGAGGGUCAUUGGAAACUGGGGAACUUGAGUGCAGAAGAGGAGAGUGGAAUUCCACGUGUAGCGGUGAAAUGCGUAGAGAUGUGGAGGAACACCAGUGGCGAAGGCGACUCUCUGGUCUGUAACUGACGCUGAGGCGCGAAAGCGUGGGGAGCGAACAG
This 422-nucleotide ribosomal RNA is filed under the name uncultured bacterium. RNAcentral describes it as "bacterial SSU rRNA". It matches the Rfam family "Bacterial small subunit ribosomal RNA", at positions 362 to 775 of the family's 1533-position model. The record is from RNAcentral.